RNAcentral lists this ribosomal RNA (447 nucleotides) under uncultured bacterium. RNAcentral describes it as "SSU rRNA". It matches the Rfam family "Bacterial small subunit ribosomal RNA", at positions 26 to 518 of the family's 1533-position model. The record is from RNAcentral.
AGAGCGAACGCUGGCGGCAGGCCUAACACAUGCAAGUCGAGCGCGUGUAGCAAUACACGAGCGGCAGACGGGAGAGUAACACGUGGGAACGCGCCCUUUGGUUCGGAAUAACUCAGGGAAACUUGAGCUAAUACCGGAUAAGCCCUUACGGGGAAAGAUUUAUCGCCAAAGGAACGGCCCGCGUCCGAUUAGCUAGUUGGUGAGGUAACGGCUCACCAAGGCGACGAUCGGUAGCUGGUCUGAGAGGAUGACCAGCCUCACUGGGACUGAGACACGGCCCAGACUCCUACGGGAGGCAGCAGUGGGGAAUAUGGACAAUGGGCGCAAGCCUGAUCCAGCCAUGCCGCGUGGAUGAUGAAGGCCUUAGGGUUGUAAAGUCCUUUUAACGGGGAAGAUAAUGACGGUACCCGUAGAAUAAGCCCCGGCUAACUUCGUGCCAGCAGCCGC